GGCCAGGAAGAAGCUGUAAACAGCCACGGUCACCACCUGGGGAAGGACGCCAAGGGACACACCAGGGCAGCACUUCCAGAUACAUUCUUCCUUGUGGCUUUUCAUCUGGAUUCCAGAAACCUCCACUGGCAUUGGCUGUUCUGGAAUGUGUCAAGGACCUGCUUCACAGGUACCUCCCAUUGCCCAGGAUCUCAAAGACCUGCCUGUCCCCUCUGUCACUCACAUUCAGGAUGCCUUGGAGCAGCACGCUGUCCCGGAUCCUCCCGUCAUUCCUCGCCUUCACAGCCAGAUUGGAGAACCACACGCACGGGAUCCAAAACUUGUUGUGGGGGGAAUUCAAGCUCUCAAACUUC
Parus major (Great Tit) is the source of this 353-nucleotide long non-coding RNA. RefSeq lists it as uncharacterized. Lineage: Eukaryota; Metazoa; Chordata; Aves; Passeriformes; Paridae. The transcript has 2 exons. The record is from RefSeq and is a predicted model, not a curated record.